UACGUAGGGCGCAAGCGUUGUCCGGAAUUAUUGGGCGUAAAGAGCUCGUAGGCGGCUUGUCACGUCGGGUGUGAAAGCCCGGGGCUUAACCCCGGGUCUGCAUUGGAUACGGGCUAGCUAGAGUGUGGUAGGGGAGAUCGGAAUUCCUGGUGUAGCGGUGAAAUGCGCAGAUAUCAGGAGGAACACCGGUGGCGAAGGCGGAUCUCUGGGCCAUUACUGACGCUGAGGAGCGAAAGCGUGGGGAGCGAACAGG
Molecule: ribosomal RNA, 253 nt
Filed under: uncultured bacterium
Lineage: Bacteria
Description: partial 16S ribosomal RNA
Rfam family: Bacterial small subunit ribosomal RNA
Source: RNAcentral